UACAGAGGGGUCAAGCGUUGUUCGGAUUCAUUGGGCGUAAAGGGUGCGUAGGCGGCGCGGUAAGUCGGGUGUGAAAUCUUGGAGCUUAACUCCGAAACUGCAUUCGAUACUGCCGUGCUUGAGCACUGGAGAGGAGACUGGAAUUUACGGUGUAGCGGUGAAAUGCGUAGAUAUCGUAAGGAAGACCAGUGGCGAAGGCGGGUCUCUGGACAGUUACUGACGCUGAGGCACGAAGGCCAGGGGAGCAAACGGG
RNAcentral lists this ribosomal RNA (253 nucleotides) under uncultured bacterium. Its description in RNAcentral is "partial 16S ribosomal RNA". It matches the Rfam family "Bacterial small subunit ribosomal RNA", at positions 524 to 776 of the family's 1533-position model. The record is from RNAcentral.